RNAcentral lists this ribosomal RNA (465 nucleotides) under Vreelandella stevensii. RNAcentral describes it as "partial 16S ribosomal RNA". It matches the Rfam family "Bacterial small subunit ribosomal RNA", at positions 338 to 795 of the family's 1533-position model. Lineage: Bacteria; Pseudomonadati; Pseudomonadota; Gammaproteobacteria; Oceanospirillales; Halomonadaceae. The record is from RNAcentral.
CCUACGGGGGGCAGCAGUGGGGAAUAUUGGACAAUGGGGGGAACCCUGAUCCAGCCAUGCCGCGUGUGUGAAGAAGGCCCUCGGGUUGUAAAGCACUUUCAGUGAGGAAGAACGCCUGGUGGUUAAUACCCAUCAGGAAAGACAUCACUCACAGAAGAAGCACCAGCUAACUCCGUGCCAGCAGCCGCGGUAAUACGGAGGGUGCGAGCGUUAAUCGGAAUUACUGGGCGUAAAGCGCGCGUAGGUGGCUUGAUAAGCCGGUUGUGAAAGCCCCGGGCUCAACCUGGGAACGGCAUCCGGAACUGUCAAGCUAGAGUGCAGGAGAGGAAGGUAGAAUUCCCGGUGUAGCGGUGAGAUGCGUAGAGAUCGGGAGGAAUACCAGUGGCGAAGGCGGCCUUCUGGACUGACACUGACACUGAGGUGCGAAAGCGUGGGUAGCAAACAGGAUUAGAUACCCUAGUAGUC